UGUAGCUUUGAGGUCUGGAUUAUAGAUCAUUCCGGAUUUUGGGUGUCCGAAUUAACGACUUUUGACUGUAUUGUUUCUUAUUUUUUGUUUAUCAAUAAUUUGCUGCUUCUUAAUUCAGUUUUUCAGUAAUGGAAUUUUAUUUGUCCAGAAAAUCGUCUCGCAGCUGAAUGAAACUAGUUUUAAAUACGGGAAAUCAGAACAGGUGCAUCAAAGUGACGUCAGAUUACUGCCUGUUAAGUCCCGCCAUUAGGCUCACGACGGCGAGGAGUCGAACAAAGGAAUGAACUAGCCCUUUCUAUUUAUCCCAGGCUUGGACAGUCUUCUCAAGCACAAUCAGCAGUUAUCACUUCAAACUACUAAGAACAUUAGCACAAUGCAAUAUGAAGCAUAUCUAAGCAAAGUUUGCAUGGGGUGUUGCAACUCAACUCUUGCUGAGAUCUGAUGGCUGAGUCAUCUCGAACUAUGAACUCUCGCUCAGAGAUCGUACGAGAACUCGGAAUGGAGAAGUCGCACGAUGCGUCUUGCCAAAUUUAAACCCUUUUCAUUAUGUAAAUAUUCUGUAACCCAUUUGCGUCUUCAUUAAAAUAUGUUUGUGUAAA
Molecule: long non-coding RNA, 599 nt
Organism: Stegodyphus dumicola
Lineage: Eukaryota; Metazoa; Arthropoda; Arachnida; Araneae; Eresidae
Source: RefSeq, a predicted model, not a curated record